Long non-coding RNA from Canis lupus familiaris (dog), 600 nucleotides. RefSeq lists it as uncharacterized. Lineage: Eukaryota; Metazoa; Chordata; Mammalia; Carnivora; Canidae. The record is from RefSeq and is a predicted model, not a curated record. The transcript has 3 exons.
UCUUACACACGUAAAGGAGCCAGCUCACCUGUUCACAAACACAAGUCCUAGAAAUAGCACUGGCAACAACCGGCUUCUGAGCUUGCCUCGCCAGACCUGGGGUUUCCAAUGAUUGCUCAGUUAGGUCUAUUUUUCUCACCUCUGUGAGUCCUUUUAGAUACAGGUCCUGCUGAGAACAAUCAAUGAUGACUGAAGUUAUAGCUACUUGAUGUUGAGCUACAUGGGUCCAUGCCAAAGGUCACUUCAGGAUCAAUGACUCUCCCUGCUUGCCCCUGGUGCCUUCCUGAAGUGAACCGAGUAUUCUCCAAACACUGCCCUGGACCAUAGCCACCUUGAUGAGGCUUUCCAAUCCACAACCACAUCUGUGCCAUUCUCAAGAAUUUUGCUCAGUGAGUCAAGUUGGAACUCUGCAAAGCUACUUCAGUUUUGACUGCCUUCACCACACAGACCUUCUUAUGUGCUGCCCCAUGCUUUCCUAUGUUGCUGAGCCCCUAGGGUCUUCUCUCCAUCCCUAGCUCUAUCUACGAUAGAGGCAAUGCCUCUUUCUACUCUCUGAUUCUCUAUGCUCUUAGAUUUGGGAAUGUCCAAACUCUUUGGGAA